RNAcentral lists this ribosomal RNA (518 nucleotides) under uncultured Novosphingobium sp. RNAcentral describes it as "bacterial SSU rRNA". It matches the Rfam family "Bacterial small subunit ribosomal RNA", at positions 9 to 522 of the family's 1533-position model. The record is from RNAcentral. Lineage: Bacteria; Pseudomonadati; Pseudomonadota; Alphaproteobacteria; Sphingomonadales; Sphingomonadaceae.
GAGUUUGAUCAUGGCUCAGAUUGAACGCUGGCGGCAUGCCUUACACAUGCAAGUCGAACGGCAGCGGGGACUUCGGUCCGCCGGCGAGUGGCGAACGGGUGAGUAAAGUAUCGGAACGUACCUUUCAGUGGGGGAUAACGUAGCGAAAGUUACGCUAAUACCGCAUAUUCUGUGAGCAGGAAAGCAGGGGAUCGCAAGACCUUGCGCUGAUUGAGCGGCCGAUAUCAGAUUAGCUAGUUGGUGGGGUAAAGGCCUACCAAGGCGACGAUCUGUAGCGGGUCUGAGAGGAUGAUCCGCCACACUGGAACUGAGACACGGUCCAGACUCCUACGGGAGGCAGCAGUGGGGAAUUUUGGACAAUGGGGGCAACCCUGAUCCAGCCAUGCCGCGUGAGUGAAGAAGGCCUUCGGGUUGUAAAGCUCUUUCGGCCGGGAAGAAAUCGCACAGGCUAAUACCCUGUGUGGAUGACGGUACCGGAAUAAGAAGCACCGGCUAACUACGUGCCAGCAGCCGCGGUA